CGGACCACAUUGUAUGAUGCACACAAAGCAGGGACUUUUGAAGCAAAUCGCCAGCUGAAAAACAAGCUCACGUGUUAUCAAAAUGAAAAACAUGAAGAACUGGAACAAAAAGGAAAAGGGGAAGCAUGAGAAAUUUAAGAAAAGAGAGAAAUGUGUGGUCAUGUUCAACGAUAACGAGCGACAGGAGUAUCUGACAGGAUUCCACAAGAGGAAGGUGGAGAGGAGGAAAGCAGUAGUGGUGGAAAUCCAGACCAAGAUAAAGGAGGAGCAGAAGAGAGUCUAAGAAGAGAGACACAAGGAGUAUUUGAAGUUGCUGCAGGAAAGAAAAGAGGCUCUCGAUGAGGAUGAUGAUGAUGAAUUGGAGGAUGUAAUAACGGGCACAACCGAGUCUGUACAGUACGAUCACCCCAACCAUACUGUUACCGUAACAACCAUCAGUGACCUUGACCUCACGGGGGCCAGCCUCUUUGCGCCAGAAACCAAUCAGGUUACUGAGGAGGUGGAGGAGCAGGAGAAAAUGAGUGCUAUGCCAAAGUUAUCUGGGAAUCCGAUCCUCAAUAAAAAAAUCUGCUCACUGAACGCCUCGCUCCACGCUCACCAGACGCAGCGGAAGGGAAGCAGGAAGGGGAAACAGGAAGGCAAAGGACGAGGCCGGCCAACAGACAAGAAGCCAUGUUCCACAGACAAGAAGGGCAGAAUUGAAAAGAACAGAGUUGGGAGGACCAGCAAGAAGCAAAGACGCAGACUGACUGGGAAGAGACAUCACAAGGACUGAGAGUUAUGAAAAAAUAGAUUUGCAGUGUAAGGGUCUGUCUGGCCUCUUUGUUUGAUCAGGAUCCUAAGCAGCCAUGAUGGACAUUUACAGUUUCUAUGGUCCCAGUUGGGAAAGUCUACAGAGCAAACAAAUACACAAACUGCACAUAUUCAUUCUCAUUGAAAGCCAAUGUCUGCUCGAUCCAGAGUGGCCGUUUCAAACACUGUUUUGUUUAACCAAUUGGACACGACCUGUCUGUUUCCUUUGUUAGGCUCUCUCCUUUCUACAUGUUUGUUUAUAUGCUAACUGCUUUGGUAUGUUGUAUUCAUCCAAUGUGUAUAUGCUCAAAGUUUGAUUAAAAGAAAAGGAUAUAUACGAAUCACUUGGAAACCUGACUCCUCAGUCAACAUCCUUUUCCGAGCAUCAGAGAAGAGAUCUUUACGUGUGUAUUUCUAGACAUUAUAGUACCCCAUGCCCUCAUUUGUUUAGAUUUCAAGAAAUGUGGUAUAGUCAAGGAUCUUAGUGUAUGCUAAUCUCAUACCUUAGCAGUGUUUAUUUAUUUACACUAACCUGAGCUAACGCGUGCCAUCUGUCACAAGCAGUUAAUUUUGCUUUCUAAAGCUCAUGAUAUCUAAUACAACCUUCAAUAGAGUAACUCAUGCAAUUGACUCCAUAUUGGUUCUAGGUCUGGCAGACUGAUAGGUUCUCGGUAAUGUUAAGCAGAGCCAACAUGGCAGUCAGAAGUGCAUCAGUUUCAUCCAUUGUCGGAACAGCCAAUCGGAUCCAUGUAAGAGCCUCAGGGGGAUUGUGAGCAGGGGAAGAGGCAUGUGCCGGGGGUCUGAUGGACAGUAUAUUACCUUUCUCUAAAUGGCAUAUUCUCAGUUUAACUGACGGCUGAGAACUCUUCUGUCAGGUAUCGUUGAAAACCCCUUCCUCUCAAAUUUAAAAGAAUAAUUAAAUGAAAAAUAAUACACAUUAAGAAAUCUAGAAAUUAAUUAUUCAAUACUUUGACUUGUAUUUAGAUUUUUAUUGCUGAAAUGUUUUUAAAUUGGGAUGUUACCAAGUGCUCUCGGUGACGUUUAGUAAUGAUAUUAAUGAUAUGCUGGAAAGAGUUCUAUCAUCUUCCUUUCUGUAUUGUGUUUCACUAUACCCUCUUGUGUAAUUAGUUUUCACUUAGCUUAACUGUUCCGUUUUAUCGCACUAACCAUGAAAUAAUGACCCUUUUGUGGAUUAAAUAUGCUACAGCAUUGCUUCCAGCUCUGCUACAUCGUCCUAUAACAACUACGCUGUAAUAAUGUCCCAUCAAUGUCUUACACUGUGUACAUAUAAAUGUUGAAAGGAUUUUAGCUGUUUUUUUUCUCCUCAUGGACUACUGUAUAUUUUUUUGAAAUCCACAAUUUUCCCUGAAGUACUAUUGGUACUACUGUUUUACCACAACCACUUUUUCUACUUUGUGGUGUUUUAGGCUCAUUAAAUACGGUGUUUGGUUUUAUCUGCCUUUACAGCCUGUGUUGUUCCGAGGUAUUCUCCGAGGUGUGCGAUGAGUGAGCGCCUGCCACCUCUGGACUCGCCAUGCCCCUCUCUGGCGAUGACCUUAUCUGUCCCAAGUUCCAGCCCAACAUCUUCGACUCCUCCCGCUGCCACGACUGCCUGCGCCAGAAACACUUGCACUCGGGCACGAGUACAGGCACGGGUACAGCCGAAACACCACAGCAGAGCCUCACAGUGGAGAAGGAGCCAGGGCAAGCCACUGUACCUCUACCAGCACCACAGCUGAGCCUCACAGUGGAGAAGGAGCCCGGGCAAGCCACUGUACCUCCACCAGCACCACAGGCAGUGAAGAGGGAUACC
Molecule: RNA transcript, 2605 nt
Organism: Oncorhynchus kisutch (coho salmon)
Lineage: Eukaryota; Metazoa; Chordata; Actinopteri; Salmoniformes; Salmonidae
Gene name: nucleolar protein 12-like
Exons: 6
Source: RefSeq, a predicted model, not a curated record